UACUCUAUACUCUCUGGAUGGUGUAUGAGACUGAAUGUUUGAGCAGUGAGAGGUUGAGGUCCUUAAAUAGCUGCAGACCAUCAAUGCAGCAGAAAUCCCAAA
This is a long non-coding RNA of Ipomoea triloba (trilobed morning glory), 102 nucleotides long. RefSeq lists it as uncharacterized. Lineage: Eukaryota; Viridiplantae; Streptophyta; Magnoliopsida; Solanales; Convolvulaceae. The transcript has 2 exons. The record is from RefSeq and is a predicted model, not a curated record.